GCGCGGUUAGCUCAGCUGGAUAGAGUGUCGGCCUCCGAAGCCGAAGGUCACAGGUUCGACUCCUGUACCGCGCGCCA
This 77-nucleotide transfer RNA is filed under the name Mariprofundus sp. KV. Its description in RNAcentral is "tRNA-Arg". It matches the Rfam family "tRNA". Rfam says of the family: Transfer RNA (tRNA) molecules are approximately 80 nucleotides in length. Their secondary structure includes four short double-helical elements and three loops (D, anti-codon, and T loops). Further hydrogen bonds mediate the characteristic L-shaped molecular structure. tRNAs have two regions of fundamental functional importance: the anti-codon, which is responsible for specific mRNA codon recognition, and the 3' end, to which the tRNAs corresponding amino acid is attached (by aminoacyl-tRNA synthetases). tRNAs cope with the degeneracy of the genetic code in two manners: having more than one tRNA (with a specific anti-codon) for a particular amino acid; and 'wobble' base-pairing, i.e. permitting non-standard base-pairing at the 3rd anti-codon position. The record is from RNAcentral. Lineage: Bacteria; Pseudomonadati; Pseudomonadota; Candidatius Mariprofundia; Mariprofundales; Mariprofundaceae. RNAcentral also lists the same sequence under 2 other names.